This 505-nucleotide ribosomal RNA is filed under the name uncultured bacterium. Its description in RNAcentral is "partial 16S ribosomal RNA". It matches the Rfam family "Bacterial small subunit ribosomal RNA", at positions 28 to 507 of the family's 1533-position model. The record is from RNAcentral.
GACGAACGCUGGCGGCGUGCCUAAUACAUGCAAGUAGAACGCACAGUUUAUACCGUAGCUUGCUACACCAUAGACUGUGAGUUGCGAACGGGUGAGUAACGCGUAGGUAACCUGCCUGGUAGCGGGGGAUAACUAUUGGAAACGAUAGCUAAUACCGCAUAAUAUUGAUUAUUGCAUGAUAAUUGAUUGAAGGAUGCUAUUGCAUCACUACCAUAUGGACCUGCGUUGUAUUAGCUAGUAGGUGAGGUAACGGCUCACCUAGGCGACGAUACAUAGCCGACCUGAGAGGGUGAUCGGCCACACUGGGACUGAGACACGGCCCAGACUCCUACGGGAGGCAGCAGUAGGGAAUCUUCGGCAAUGGACGAAAGUCUGACCGAGCAACGCCGCGUGAGUGAAGAAGGUUGUCGGAUCGUAAAGCUCUGUUGUAAGAGAAGAACGGGUGUGAGAGUGGAAAGUUCACACUGUGACGGUAUCUUACCAGAAAGGGACGGCUAACUACGUG